UGGGAAUGGGAGUUGUCUACUUGUU
RNAcentral lists this non-coding RNA (25 nucleotides) under Mus musculus (house mouse). Lineage: Eukaryota; Metazoa; Chordata; Mammalia; Rodentia; Muridae. The record is from RNAcentral.